Long non-coding RNA from Sapajus apella (tufted capuchin), 1690 nucleotides. RefSeq lists it as uncharacterized. NCBI's taxonomy places the organism in Eukaryota, Metazoa, Chordata, Mammalia, Primates, Cebidae. The transcript has 3 exons. The record is from RefSeq and is a predicted model, not a curated record.
UCUGUUCAAUACGGUUUGAUCUCAUUUCAUUCUCACAUGAACCCUAUAGGGAAUAUCAUUCCAUUUCACAGACGAGAAACGGAGGCUCAGAGAGUUUAAGACACUGACCCAUGGCCACACAGCAAUAAUCUUCAGCGCCUGGGUGUCAAGGAGGUCCUGGCCCUACCGACAUGGCCCCCGCAUCCCCAACGGCGCGCUAGGUUGACGAGAUGAAGAGGAGUCGCAGUGCCCUGUCCGUGGCCGAGGUGCGAGGGGAGGGGAGACCGAGGGACACCCCCGAACCCGGCCGUGCCGGUAUGCUGGGGGCCGACCUGCGUCGCCCUCGCCGCCGCCUCUCGUCCGGUCCUGGCCUGGGCUGGGCCCAGCCUGAGCCCUCGGACCCUGGGGUCCCUCUGCCGCCACGGCCCACCACGCUGCCGCUGCUGAUCCCACCGCGGAUUUCCAUCACCAGGGCGGAGAACGACAGGUAGGUAGGAGAGGGAGCAGAGUGGGAGGUGGGCUGGGGAGUCACCGUACCAACUGGGCUAGGUCCAGCCACCAGCGCUUCCCGAUCUCCAUGCUCCUGCGGUUUGCAAAACUAGCUGAAACUUGUCCUGUGGCGGGCUGUGACACCCCUCCCCCAAGGCACCCUUUGCAGGCUCUAGGAACCCCUUCUUUCAUUGUCCAGCUGCCUGAGUCAGCACGGGGCAGGACUGAGGAAAGAGGUGUCCUGUCUCCAACCCCCAAGAUGCCCCCAUGUUCACAGAGCUGGGGCAGGUUGAUCAGGCGGCUGUGCACCCGCCUUAGCGUCCCCUGCUGGGAGGAUCAGGUUUCUUCCCCGCCUUGAAGGGGAUAGUGGGGUCUUGGAAGGGGUCUGAACUAGCAUUUUUCUUUCUCCUAGGGAGAUGUGAGAAAUAUCUGUGAGCUCUGGGUUCACACAACAUCUCUUGCUGAUCCUCAUCUGGGGACCUACCGGGUACCCAGCCAGUUUCCCAGGGUAAUCAACCCCCCUCUUGGCUCAAGAAUGAGCAGUAAAGUCAGACAGCUGAGCUGGUCCUGGCUUUUGGCCGGCCCCUGCACCCUGCCCCCAUGCCCUCCUCUGGUCUCUGCUCUCUGCAGUUCCAAUCCACCCCCACCCCCAUCUACUCAAUUGGUGGGUUCUAGGGUCUCUGUUUCCGUCAUGGUCCAAUGGUUCAUUUCCAGAUAGGGAGAGCAAGUGACUGUCACUCGCCUCUUGCACUGCUUAAUUAUACCUCCCCUUGCCCAUCCCAGGAGCCUCAGGUCCAGUCGGUUUAUCCCCUGCUCACCCCACUGCUCCUCGUUUCCUCUUUCUUCUACAACCCCAGCUGUGGCCUGACACCCCCACCCACCUCACAUUACUCACCCACACCCCCUUCCAGAUCUCUAACCAACGUUACAGCACCCCUCCCCCCCAGAAUUUGGCCCAGCCCAGGACUUUCAAAUAUGAUCUGGGGAGAACUCGCAGCCCCUGCAAAUUCCCUAGAAGACGUUUUGAGUGUGUACUGAGGGGGGUGUUCCUGAGAGAAGUGGGGGACACAGUGCUGGCGCCUGGGAUACCCCGCGGCUGCCGAUGAGGGGACCGGUUUUUGCUCGGCGUUCGCCCACGCCGGGAGCCCCCUCUGGCGGGGAGGAAAGUGGCUGUGGGGGUUGAAAAGACGGGCAGUCUUUUUUUUUUUUUUUUUAAAUAAGG